GACGAACGCUGGCGGCGUGCUUAACACAUGCAAGUCGAACGGAAAGGCCCUGCUUGUUUGGGGUGCUCGAGUGGCGAACGCGUGAGUAACACGUGAGUAACCUGCCCUUGACUUUGGGAUAACUUCAGGAAACUGGGGCUAAUACCGGAUAGCAGCCCCUGCUGCAUUGUGGGCGUUGGAUAUUUUCGGCUGUUGGGGAUGGACUCGCGGCUUAUCAGCUUGUUGGUGGGGUAGUGGCUUACCAAGGCUUUGACGGGUACCCGGCCUGGGAGGGUGACCGGCCACAUUGGGACUGAGAGACGGAGCAGACUCCUACGGGAGGCAGCAGUGGGGAAUAUUGCACAAUGGGCGGACGCCUGAUGCAGCAACGCCGCGUGCGGGAUGACGGCCUUCGGGUUGUAAACCGCUUUCGCCUGUGACGAAGCGUGAGUGACGGUAAUGGGUAAAGAAGCACCGGCUAACUACGUG
RNAcentral lists this ribosomal RNA (468 nucleotides) under uncultured bacterium. Its description in RNAcentral is "partial 16S ribosomal RNA". It matches the Rfam family "Bacterial small subunit ribosomal RNA", at positions 28 to 507 of the family's 1533-position model. The record is from RNAcentral.